This 507-nucleotide ribosomal RNA is filed under the name Eucephalobus striatus. RNAcentral describes it as "SSU rRNA". It matches the Rfam family "Eukaryotic small subunit ribosomal RNA", at positions 88 to 590 of the family's 1831-position model. Lineage: Eukaryota; Metazoa; Nematoda; Chromadorea; Rhabditida; Cephalobidae. The record is from RNAcentral.
CGCGAAUGGCUCAUUACAACAGCUAACAAAUCUACUUGAUCUUGACACAAUCCUACUUGGAUAACUGUGGUAAUUCUAGAGCUAAUACAUGCAUUAAAGCUCUGACCUUCGGGGAAGAGUGCAUUUAUUAGAACAAAACCAAGCGGCUUCGGCUGUUUUCGGUUGACUCAUAGUAACUGAGCUGAUCGCAUGGUCUUGCACCGGCGACGUGUCUUUCGAGUAUCUGCCGUAUCAACUUUCGAUGGUAGUGUAUCUGACUACCAUGGUGAUCACGCGUAACGGAGAAUAAGGGUUCGGCUCCGGAGAGUUCGCCUGAGAAAUCGCGAACACAUCUAAGGAAGGCAGCAGGCGCGAAAAUUACCCACUCUCAGCACGAGGAGGUAGUGACGAAAAAUAACGAGACCGUUCUCUUAUGAGGCCGGUCAUCGGAAUGGGUACAAUUUAAACCCUUUAACGAGUAUCUAUGAGAGGGCAAGUCUGGUGCCAGCAGCCGCGGUAAUUCCAGCU